RNAcentral lists this ribosomal RNA (775 nucleotides) under uncultured Neocallimastigales. RNAcentral's name for it is "partial large subunit ribosomal RNA". It matches the Rfam family "Eukaryotic large subunit ribosomal RNA", at positions 23 to 616 of the family's 3401-position model. The record is from RNAcentral. Lineage: Eukaryota; Fungi; Neocallimastigomycota; Neocallimastigomycetes; Neocallimastigales.
AGAGAGAGACAUGCGCGCAUAUCAAUAAGCGGAGGAAAAGAAACUAACAAGGAUUCCCCUAGUAACGGCGAGUGAAGCGGGAAGAGCUCAAAUUUGAAAUCUUAAAGGGUUUCCCUUUACGAAUUGUAGUUUAAAGAAGUGUUUUCUGUUGAGGUUUUGGUAAAAGUUCUUUGGAAUAGGACAUCAUAGAGGGUGAGAAUCCCGUAUUUGACCUUUACUUUCAACUUUGUGAUACACUUUCAAAGAGUCGGAUUGUUUGGGAAUGCAGUCCAAAAUGGGUGGUAAAUUUCAUCUAAAGCUAAAUAUUGGCGAGAGACCGAUAGCGAACAAGUACCGUGAGGGAAAGAUGAAAAGAACUUUGAAAAGAGAGUUAAACAGUACGUGAAAUUGUCAAAAGGGAAGCGUUUGACACCAGUGUUGUUUUUCUGAAAAUCAAUUAAAGAACUGUUUAUGCUAAGCUUGUUUAGACUUUAUCAGCUAUCUGUUUAGUUUUGAGCUUUUCUUUAAUGCACUUUUCAGUUAACAAGUCAACAUCAGUUUCUUUUGCUGUAUAAAAGCUUGAGGAAGGUGGCUUGAGAUUCGUCUUAAGUGUUUAUAGCCUCUUGCCUAUGCAGUCGGAGAGAUUGAGGUCUGCAGCGUAGAUCCUUCGGGGCUAAAUGCAUUUGUGCUAAGUUAUAGCAUUUUAUAGACAACUUGUUGACUAUGAUUUGUCUUGUAGCUUACUCGCUUAUGUUAUUUUACCUACGCUUAGGAUGUUGAGCGCAUGUCUCUCUCU